CCUACGGGAGGCAGCAGUGAGGACUAUUGGUCAAUGGGCGCGAGCCUGAACCAGCCAAGUAGCGUGAAGGAUGACUGCCCUACGGGUUGUACACUUCUUUUAUAAAGGAAUAAAGUGAGGCACGUGUGCCUUUUUGUAUGUACUUUAUGAAUAAGGAUCGGCUAACUCCGUGCCAGCAGCCGCGGUAAUACGGAGGAUCCGAGCGUUAUCCGGAUUUAUUGGGUUUAAAGCGCUCGUAGGCGGUAUGUCAAGUCAAGGGUGAAAUCCCCGCGCUCAACGUGGGAACUGCCUUUGAAACUGGCAAACUGGAGUGUGUGAGAGGAUAGUGGAAUUCCAGGUGUAGGAGUGAAAGCCGUAGAUAUCUGGAGGAACAUCAGUGGCGAAGGCGACUAUCUGGCACAUAACUGACGCUGAGGAGCGAAAGCGUGGGUAGCAAACAGGAUUAGAUACCCGGGUAGUC
RNAcentral lists this ribosomal RNA (460 nucleotides) under uncultured bacterium. Its description in RNAcentral is "partial 16S ribosomal RNA". It matches the Rfam family "Bacterial small subunit ribosomal RNA", at positions 338 to 795 of the family's 1533-position model. The record is from RNAcentral.